AGCGUAUACGGUGGAUGCCUUGGCAGUUAGAGGCGAUGAAGGACGUGUAAGUCUGCGAAAAGCUGUGGUGAGCCGACAAAAUGCAUUUGAGCCACAGAUGUCCGAAUGGGGAAACCCACCUGUUUACAGGUAUCGUUACGUGAAUACAUAGCGUAACGAGGCGAACGAGGGGAACUGAAACAUCUAAGUACCCUUAGGAAAAGAAAUCAAACGAGAUUCCCCUAGUAGCGGCGAGCGAACGGGGAACAGCCCUUAAGCUGUUUAGUGUGUAGUGGAAUCCUUUGGGAAGAGGAGCGAUACAGGGUGAUAGCCCCGUACACAAAGCGUGCUUUACAGUGAAAUCGAGUAGGUCGGGACACGUGUUAUCUUGACUGAAUAUGGGGGGACCAUCCUCCAAGGCUAAAUACUCCUAACUGACCGAUAGUGAACCAGUACCGUGAGGGAAAGGCGAAAAGAACCCCUGUGAGGGGAGUGAAAUAGAACCUGAAACCGUAUACGUACAAGCAGUGGGAGCCCUUCGGGGUGACUGCGUACCUUUUGUAUAAUGGGUCAGCGACUUAUAUUUAGUAGCAAGGUUAAGCGAAUAGCGGAGCCGUAGCGAAAGCGAGUGUUAACUGCGCGUUUAGUUGCUAGGUAUAGACCCGAAACCCGGUGAUCUAGCCAUGAGCAGGUUGAAGGUUGAGUAACAUCAACUGGAGGACCGAACCCACUGACGUUGAAAAGUCAGGGGAUGACUUGUGGCUGGGGGUGAAAGGCCAAUCAAACCGGGAGAUAGCUGGUUCUCCCCGAAAUCUAUUUAGGUAGAGCCUCGGACGAAUUCCAUUGGGGGUAGAGCACUGUUAAGGCUAGGGGGUCAUCCCGACUUACCAACCCUUUGCAAACUCCGAAUACCAAUGAGAACUAUCCGGGAGACACACGGCGGGUGCUAACGUCCGUCGUGGAGAGGGAAACAACCCAGACCGCCAGCUAAGGUCCCAAAAUAUUGCUAAGUGGGAAACGAUGUGGGAAGGCACAGACAGCUAGGAGGUUGGCUUAGAAGCAGCCACCCUUUAAAGAAAGCGUAAUAGCUCACUAGUCGAGUCGGCCUGCGCGGAAGAUGUAACGGGGCUAAGCAAUAUACCGAAGCUGCGGCAGCAUGUUUACAUGCUGGGUAGGGGAGCGUUGUGUAAGUGGAUGAAGGUGAGUUGUAAAGCUUGCUGGACAUAUCACAAGUGCGAAUGCUGACAUGAGUAACGAUAAUGGGAGUGAAAAACUCCCACGCCGGAAGACCAAGGUUUCCUGUCCCAUGCUAAUCAGGGCAGGGUAAGUCGGCCCCUAAGGCGAGGCAGAAAUGCGUAGUCGAUGGGAAACGGAUUAAUAUUUCCGUACUUAUAUAAUCAGUGAUGGAGGGACGGAGAAGGCUAGGCAAGCUUGGCGUUGGUUGUCCAAGUGAAAGUGCGUAGGCUGAAAACUUAGGUAAAUCCGGGUUUUCAAGGCCGAGACACGAGACGAGCUCCCAAGGGAGUGAAGUUGUUGAUGCCCUGCUUCCAGGAAAAGCUUCUAAACUUAUGAUUAUAUGAACCGUACCCCAAACCGACACAGGUGGUCAGGUAGAGAAUACUAAGGCGCUUGAGAGAACUCGGGUGAAGGAACUCGGCAAAAUUGUACCGUAACUUCGGGAGAAGGUACGCCUCUGUUUGUGAACACUUUACGUGGUAAGCAAAUGGAGGCCGCAGUGACCAGGUGGCUGGGACUGUUUAUUAAAAACACAGCACUCUGCAAACUCGUAAGAGGACGUAUAGGGUGUGACACCUGCCCGGUGCCGGAAGGUUAAUUGAUGGGGUUAGUUUUCGGACGAAGCUCUUGAUCGAAGCCCCGGUAAACGGCGGCCGUAACUAUAACGGUCCUAAGGUAGCGAAAUUCCUUGUCGGGUAAGUUCCGACCUGCACGAAUGGUGUAACCAUGGCCACGCUGUCUCCACCCGAGACUCAGUGAAAUUGAAAUCGCAGUGAAGAUGCUGUGUACCCGCACCUAGACGGAAAGACCCCGUGAACCUUUACUACAGCUUGGCACUGAACAUUGAACCUACAUGUGUAGGAUAGGUGGGAGGCUUUGAAGCACAGUCGCUAGAUUGUGUGGAGCCGUCCUUGAAAUACCACCCUUGUAUGUUUGAUGUUCUAACAUUGGUCCCUUAUCGGGAUUGUGGACAGUGUCUGGUGGGUAGUUUGACUGGGGCGGUCUCCUCCCAAAUAGUAACGGAGGAGCACGAAGGUUAGCUAAUCACGGUCGG
Molecule: ribosomal RNA, 2269 nt
Filed under: metagenome
Description: bacterial LSU rRNA
Rfam family: Bacterial large subunit ribosomal RNA
Source: RNAcentral